Molecule: ribosomal RNA, 253 nt
Filed under: uncultured bacterium
Lineage: Bacteria
Description: partial 16S ribosomal RNA
Rfam family: Bacterial small subunit ribosomal RNA
Source: RNAcentral
UACGAAGGGGGCUAGCGUUGCUCGGAAUCACUGGGCGUAAAGCGCACGUAGGCGGAUCUUUAAGUCAGGGGUGAAAUCCUGGAGCUCAACUCCAGAACUGCCUUUGAUACUGGGGAUCUCGAGUCCGGGAGAGGUGAGUGGAACUCCGAGUGUAGAGGUGAAAUGCGUAGAUAUCCGGAGGAACACCGGUGGCGAAGGCGGCUUCCUGGACCGACACUGACGCUGAGGCGCGAAAGCUAGGGGAGCAAACGGG